Molecule: ribosomal RNA, 500 nt
Filed under: uncultured bacterium
Lineage: Bacteria
Description: bacterial SSU rRNA
Rfam family: Bacterial small subunit ribosomal RNA
Source: RNAcentral
AGAGUUUGAUCCUGGCUCAGAAUCAACGCUGGCGGCGUGCCUAACACAUGCAAGUCGAACGAGAAAGUGGAGCAAUCCAUGAGUACAGUGGCGACCGGGUGAGUAACACGUGACUAACCUACCCUAGAGUGGGGAAUAACUUCGGGAAACCGAGGCUAAUACCGCAUAACAUCGCGAGGGGAAGAUCCUUGCGAUCAAAGGAGCAAUUCGCUCAAGGAGGGGGUCGCGGCUGAUUAGUUAGUUGGCGGGGUAACGGCCCACCAAGACAAAGAUCAGUAUCCGGCCUGAGAGGGCGCACGGACACACUGGAACUGAAACACGGUCCAGACUCCUACGGGAGGCAGCAGUGGGGAAUUUUGCGCAAUGGGGGAAACCCUGACGCAGCAACGCCGCGUGGAGGAUGAAGUCCCUUGGGAUGUAAACUCCUUUCGAUCGGGACGAUUAUGACGGUACCGGAAGAAGAAGCACCGGCUAACUCUGUGCCAGCAGCCGCGGUAAUA